Long non-coding RNA from Drosophila yakuba, 516 nucleotides. RefSeq lists it as uncharacterized. The transcript is spliced from 2 exons. The record is from RefSeq and is a predicted model, not a curated record. NCBI's taxonomy places the organism in Eukaryota, Metazoa, Arthropoda, Insecta, Diptera, Drosophilidae.
CUGUGCUUGGCAGUGAACUUAAGCUUAAAAGCGAGAAUCUGGAUCCGAAUCUGGUUUUACGUCAUGUCCUCUCCUCAGUUCUAUGGAAUCAGGGAGGGAAGAGGAGAUAAAUUAAUAAAUGAAAUUGUUGAAUAAUGGUUGGAAAGAUGCGUCUUUUAAUGUUGAUGACUGAUUGAGGAAUCCCAUGAUUUAUUAGCACUCAAGUGGCUGUGAGGAGACGCCUCUCAAACGGGUCAAGUGACGUCGCUUCAAAUGAACAAUAAACUUUUCAUUUCUACCCUUGAAUGGCAUUUAAAUGGAUACUGACGGUACAGUCGAACUCCCCUAUCUUAAACGUCAUAACAAAACAAUCUAGAAUAUCCCAAGUUAAAGUCAUCACAAAUAUUAAUGAUGAUUACUUUGUUGUUUUUCUAAAAAUCUUAUUUUUUUGGUUUUAAGUGUAUUUACAUUUUUGGAGUUAGAACAUUUUUCAUUAAAAACUUUUAAGUUUCAUAGCAGAAUAAUAGAAUUUUGAAA